CUUCUUAUCCUCCAUUCCACAGAUUAGGAAACUGACAUAGAGAAGGCAAAGGCAGUUGCCCAAGGUCACACAGCUCGUAACCGGAGGAGCCAGGCGUUAAACCCAUGCAGUGUGUGUGUCGAUAACCACGCUACGCCACAGCCUAGCUGGCCGAUGCUGAUGGUUAUGGGUAAUUUCCAGAGAGUUAAGUAUAGCUCACUUUCUCUACUAUUCAGAGAGCAACUUCACAUCCAUUCGAAUUGAAUCGUUUUUUAAAAGACAUAAAUCAGUCAAAAAUAUUGACUCUUUCCUUGAUCAGUGAAGAACUCACUGUAUCAUAUAUUACUUUGGUCACGACAGACCAGUGGAGACAGAUUUAUAGAAGCUCAGAGAAGAUGGUUACUUCUGAGGGCGGAUGCAUUCAGUUCCAGUCUUUGCAUCCCUGAUACCCGAGUAAAAUGCAGCUGAGAGGAGUCACCUAGUUGCCCCUCGGCCCUGAGCCAGUGUUUGGUGAUAUGACCCCUCUGCUCCCCAAGCCUCAUGCCAAGUCAGCCACACUCAACACACCAUCAUCACAGGCCCCUGUGGAAAUGCGCAGAUUGCAGCCAUAGGAAGCCAUGCGGCUGUGUAAUUAUUCAGGUGAGUAGCCUAGAGCCUCUUCUCACAUGCAAAUGGUGGAGGAAUGACUCCAAGGAGCUAAAUAUGACUUUCAGGGGAAGUCUCUUGUGGUACAUUGGGUUAAAGAUCUGCUGUUGUCACUGAAGUGGCUCACUGCUGUGGCAUGGGUUCAAUCCCAGGAAUUUCUACAUGCCGUAGGCAUGGCCAAGAAAAAGAGAAGAUGGCUUUCGUAAAGGUAGGAAUAUGGACUGUUUGACUUACCGCCACAUGACCAGAAUACAGAGAAGGUAGUUGAUAAAUAUGUGUUGGGGAAAAAUGAAUAAAUGAACAUACAAUAAUUUGUAUGCA
RNAcentral lists this long non-coding RNA (945 nucleotides) under Sus scrofa (pig). RNAcentral's name for it is "lncRNA (ENSSSCG00070012136.1)". Lineage: Eukaryota; Metazoa; Chordata; Mammalia; Artiodactyla; Suidae. The record is from RNAcentral.